CUACUGAUGUCCGUGUCGCGAUAGUAAUUCAACCUAGUACGAGAGCUUCUUGUGGCAUUUCACUCAUCAGAACACCUCCUUGCAAAAUAGUUGCAUCGCUGUGCUUUCGGGAGUUCAGUGUUUCCUGUAUAUGUUCUGAACAAGAGCUGCAUUGCAGAUGACGCAGCGUUUUUUCGACGAAUUCAUCAGAGAAGGAACAUCGAUCUCGUUAUAAUUUCUGCAUUACGUCGUGAUACGACAUCGGAAAGAAAAGCUUAUUCGGAUCAAUAAAUUUCAGUUUUAUGACAAGUGACAAACUUACCGUUUCUUUGUUCAACUUUCAUGGCUAGGUGGAAUGUGUUUGCCGCUGAGAAGAUCUAGCAAGAGGGUCCCGAAGCUGUAGACAACGCUCUCUGGUAUAGUUCUUCCUGUAAAGAAUGCAACACUCAUGCAGAGGUAUCAUCAAUCUCAUUUCAGGUUACGGAGUAAUGAGCCCACCACCUGAUCCUAUAAGCGUUAAGGUGGUACAAGUCUCUGCCUUUGCUGCUGCAAUAGGACACGUACAAAGGGGAUCGAUACAGAAUCUCAUAUGUUAGUAAGAUCAAAAUUUUCAAAGCACAGACAGACAAAAAACACAAGACCCUUUGAUGGAAAUGGGCAAAGGAACGAAAUUUCUCAAGAGUACUGAUGAGAAAUUGACGAAGAUCGGGCCGAGCGGUUCUGUUUAACACUGUGCCGAGGCUGAACUCUCUGAACGUUGGGUAAGUCCUCGUUUCCAUCUAUCCUGGUCCUGAAGCGAGUUAGAUGAUUAGAUUUACGUAAACCUAUCGACGGGCAUCUAUCCUGGCAUGAAGUGUGCCAGGUCGGAGCUAUUUUUCCAUCUCGUGUAGUUUCCGAGAAAAUAUUGUGCAUAUGGAUAACCGUGACAAAGGUGAAUGCGGAUAAGAAUGUGGAGACGAGGGUGACGAAGUAAAACCCUGGAAUGGGGGUUUUCAUGUUACAAGUAAAAAAUAAGAGUAUUCGGAAUAAUUUACCUGUGAAAAAUAAAGAUAACGAUAAAAUCAUAGAGGCCCAAGUCCAAAGCACAAACAACCUCGUAAUAAGUAACCUUCCGGUAGGGAUAGAGUCUUGGCUCUGUACUAGGUCGGCCUCCGACACGGUGGAGAAGAACAAUAAUAUAUAUAUAAUAUAUGCACGUGUCAAGUAUGUGUUUGCUGAUUUACGUCAGUGAGUAGUCCACCCAUUCUAUUCAAUAGUUACUUCAACCAACCAAAUACCUAGUUUCCACUCUAUCUUUACUGCUUUAGACCGGUAUGGUAUAAUUAUAAUUUAUAUGGGGCUCCUUUUAGAAUCAUGCUAUUGGGCCGUUUCAGUAUCAUGUUAGGCCCAUUUAUUUCCCUCCCAUGGCCCAUUUAUUUGUUAAAAAAGGAAAAAAGUCAAACUUUUAUGGGUUAUUGUUCUGUUUUGUACUCUUUUUUCUGUUUUGUACUCUUUUUUCCUUGGGGUUGGGGUUUUUUUCCCCUGCAAUGAUACCCUUUUUAUUUCCUUUUUUCUGGAAUGAUACAUUUUUUUAUUUCUUUAUCUAUAAGUAUUUACACUUUCAUAAGAAAGGGUUUGGAUGUAACAGAAUAGUUCUUCUGUCAGACAAAAGAAAUAUUAAAAAGAAAAUUCCGAACUUGUAAUGGGGAUACU
Molecule: long non-coding RNA, 1671 nt
Organism: Tarenaya hassleriana
Lineage: Eukaryota; Viridiplantae; Streptophyta; Magnoliopsida; Brassicales; Cleomaceae
Exons: 4
Source: RefSeq, a predicted model, not a curated record